Molecule: long non-coding RNA, 1014 nt
Filed under: Canis lupus familiaris (dog)
Lineage: Eukaryota; Metazoa; Chordata; Mammalia; Carnivora; Canidae
Description: lncRNA (ENSCAFG00000057748.1)
Source: RNAcentral
AUGGGGAGGGGUCUGACCUCGGCACUGGGAGUGACGGGGCCUGGGGAGGGGACGCACACCCGGGGACUAGCCCACGGCUCCGGCGGAGGCUCUCGGUGGUGGGGGAAGGGCCCGACCAAGGGAGGGGCUCCCGGGUGCGGGGCUCGGCGGGGCCGCGGGGGCAGGAGGCCGGGCAGACGCUCCGCGGGGAGAGGGCCCCUCGCAGGGGCUCUGAGCGCGCCCGACCCCCGCCCGGAGCAGGGCCGCGGCGGCCCGGGGGAGGGGCGGCGGGGGCGCGGGCGAGGGCCGCGGGGCGCAGGGCGCGGAGGGGAGCUGUCCAAGGUGGGCGCGCCGCGGCCCGGGCGGCGGGGCCCGCGCGCUGGGGGCUCCGGGCGGGGGCCGCGGGGGCGCAGGAGGGCCCGGGCCCGCGCCCGGGGGGGGGGGCUCGGACAAAGGAGGGGCGCGCGGGGAGAGGGCGCCGCGGGCCUCGCGGGUGGGGUGCGGCGGGGGCCCCCGCCCGGCCCCCGCCCCGGCCGCCUACCUGGGCGCUCGUCCUGCGGCGCCGCCGCGGCUGCUGCUGGCCGGCUCGUGUCCGCUCGGGCGCCGCCGCCCCCCGCGCGCCCGCCGCCCGCCGCCCGCCCGCCCGAGCCGCCGCCGCCGCGCCCGCGCCCGUCCCCGCCCGUCCCCGCCCGCCGGGCGCCGCGCUCCGCCCCUCCCCGGGGACCCGCGCCCGGCCAAGGUCACGGCCGCCCCGACCCCCGCCCCGCGCACACGCGCCCCCGCCCGCGCCCUGGGGAGUCGCCGGGCCGGCUGGGGGGGCGACGGGGCGGGGUCGGCCUGCCUCUUCGGGAGCCCCGCUCCCCAGGGUCACCCUGGAGCCAGGCGCGGGGCACGAGGGCGCAGCGUGAGGUCACCCCGAGCGGAGGGAAGGGGGUAUUGGCGGAGCUGCAGCCUAGGCCCCGGCGGUGCUGGGGUCGGUGGUGGGGUCGUGGGCCAGCCAGGGUCCCGCAGGGGAGUGGGGCCUUGCCGGGAUGA